GACGAACGCUGGCGGCGUGCUUAACACAUGCAAGUCGAACGGAAAGGCCUGCUUUCCCUUGUGGAUUGCGGGUACUCGAGUGGCGAACGGGUGAGUAACACGUGAGUGAUCUGCCCCCAACUUGGGUAUAAGCCUGGGAAACUGGGUCUAAUUCCCGAUAGGACUGCAGGGUGGUGCCUGUGGUGGAAAACGAUUUUCUAGUGGUUGGGGAUGAGCUCGCGGCCUAUCAGCUUGUUGGUGGGGUAAUGGCCUACCAAGGCGGCGACGGGUAGCCGGCCUGGGAAGGUGGACGGCCACAUUGGGACUGAGAAACGGCCCCGACUCCUACGGGCGGCAGCAGUGGGGAAUAUUGCACAAUGGGCGGAAGCCUGAUGCAGCGACGCAGCGUGGGGGAUGACGGCCUUCGGGUUGUAAACUCCUUUCGACCGCGAGGAAGCCACCUGGUUGGAAGGGUGGUGACGGUAGUGGUAGAAGAAGCACCGGCUAACUACGUG
This 494-nucleotide ribosomal RNA is filed under the name uncultured bacterium. Its description in RNAcentral is "partial 16S ribosomal RNA". It matches the Rfam family "Bacterial small subunit ribosomal RNA", at positions 28 to 507 of the family's 1533-position model. The record is from RNAcentral.